UACAGAGGGUGCAAGCGUUGUUCGGAAUUAUUGGGCGUAAAGGGCGCGUAGGCGGUGCGGUAAGUCUGUAGUGAAAUCUCUGGGCUCAACUCAGAGUCUGCUAUAGAAACUGCCGUGCUUGAGUGUGGGAGAGGUGAGUGGAAUUCCCGGUGUAGCGGUGAAAUGCGUAGAUAUCGGAAGGAACACCUGUGGCGAAAGCGGCUCACUGGACCAUUACUGACGCUGAUGCACGAAAGCUAGGGGAGCAAACAGG
This 253-nucleotide ribosomal RNA is filed under the name uncultured bacterium. Its description in RNAcentral is "partial 16S ribosomal RNA". It matches the Rfam family "Bacterial small subunit ribosomal RNA", at positions 524 to 776 of the family's 1533-position model. The record is from RNAcentral.